Vicugna pacos (alpaca) is the source of this 1752-nucleotide non-coding RNA. NCBI's taxonomy places the organism in Eukaryota, Metazoa, Chordata, Mammalia, Artiodactyla, Camelidae. The record is from RefSeq and is a predicted model, not a curated record.
GUUUCUGGUAAGCUGAGAAUAUCCAGAAGAAACAGACAUAGAAGUAUUCUGUUUUCUACAGCAUCCCAUUGGUUUGGGGAAAUAUCUAGGGGUAGACUCCUCACAUUCAUAUGAUAAAGGGGAUGACUGUGAGCAGCAAUGUGGCCUGUUCCUCUGCCCACUGGCACAAGCAGAGUUACAAAUAACAGAAAUGGAAGGAUCACUACAAAUUGUAUUAUUUAACUGCAUGACCCACAUGGAACAAUCAACUCACUCCUAGGUUUGGCAGGGCCCUUCUGAGUUGAUUCCCUGAAAAACAAAACAAAACAAUAAAACCCAAACCAAACCAAAAAAUAACAAAUAUAUAUAAAAAAGAGAGACUCUGAGUGUCAUCAGCUUUGCUCAAUGUGGCUGCCUUGAUAAGAGUUCAGUUUUCUCUGUGUCAUGAGAAACUUUUUAUGAUUAAUGGAAGACAGAAUAUUAUCCAGAAUUAACAGUUCAUUUCCAAUUCUGUAUUAUAAAAUUAUUUCUGAUAAUGGAAAAUUCUCUAUUUCUUUAAAUUAAUUAAAACAUUGAAAGUCUACAGUGUAUAAAAGAAAGCACUGGAGUUCUGGAGAGGUGAGGCAGAAUACCAAGGUAAAUAGGAAUUAUUCCUUUUCUCAGAGAUAUGUACUCUACAGGGGAAGCAUGCAGCACCUGAAAGGGGAGGAGAGGUUGGUGGGCCACGCAGGGUUGAAGGAGGAGCAUAGGAACAUGGGUCUGGGAAAGUUUGGCUAGCUUUACACUGCUCAAUUGAAAUACUAAUUUGGAAUAUUUUCUUAACAUCAGGGUUCAAGUUUGUUAGUUCUACUGAGACUUCAGGUCAGAAGAAAAGAACAAUAGUGAGAAGGCAUUCAUGGCUUUGCAUUCUCAGGAAGUCAUCCUGCUGUUUGAACUGUGUAUGAUUGAGCAUAUUGUCAUUGAUAAAGAAUUUUUAUUUAUUUUUGAUCAAAGACUUCACCGUGUUUUCCUGACCUUUUCAAUCUCCUGUUUGCCGAGGUUUAACAUGAGCUCUCCUCGGGCCUGGGAGAAACUCUGAGAAUGACCCCUGAGAAUGAGCUCAGUGGUGAGAAGUCCAAGGACAGGAUGAGGUUGACAUUGCAUGUGUUUUUGGAAUAAGAAUCAACACACUUAAAGACUGGGAUUUGGAAGUGAGAAGGAGUACAUCGGAGUGAUUCAGGAAACCAAGAAAUGAGAUACAAGUGGCAACAUUUGUCAAAGUUCUAUGCAUUUGUUCCUCUGGAUUCAAGUGAAACAUCUGAAGUUAAUUCUUAACCCAAUGUUGGCUUGUUCUCACCAACCUCCUUGCCCUGAUCUUGGUAAAUAUAUUACAUUUCUGUAUGUUAUUUGCCCACAACUACAAAUAAAUAUAUAUUGCUUUAGGCUUUUUAAAUAAGAUAAGAGAAGAAAGGAUAAAAAAUAGGCAUUUAUACUCCUUUAUAAUUGCAUAAUUACUUUUAUCAGUGUUCUUGGUAUUUUUUGUGUGUGUAUUCAAAUUACUGUCUUGGGUCACUUGCUUUCAGCCUGAGGAACUAACUUUAGUAUAUCAUGUAAGGUAGGCCUACUGGCAGCAGAUUCUUUCAGAUUUUGUUAUCCAAAUAUCUUUUGAUUUCAUCUUCAUUUUUAAAUGAUAAUCUUGCUGGAUAUAGGAUUCUUGAUUAAGAGUUUUUAAAAUUUGAGGGCUGAGAAUACAUUAUCCUUUUGCCUUCAGCCCUCUAUUGUUUCUGAUGAUAC